GUACACGCUGUGACUAGCAUAUCAAUAAGCGGAGGAAAAGAAACUAACAAGGAUUCCCCUAGUAACGGCGAGUGAAGCGGGAAGAGCUCAAAUUUGAAAUCUUAAAGGGUUUCCCUUUACGAAUUGUAGUUUAAAGAAGUGUUUUCUGUUGAGGUUUUGGUAAAAGUUCUUUGGAAUAGGACAUCAUAGAGGGUGAGAAUCCCGUAUUUGACCUUUACUUUCAACUUUGUGAUACACUUUCAAAGAGUCGGAUUGUUUGGGAAUGCAGUCCAAAAUGGGUGGUAAAUUUCAUCUAAAGCUAAAUAUUGGCGAGAGACCGAUAGCGAACAAGUACCGCGAGGGAAAGAUGAAAAGAACUUUGAAAAGAGAGUUAAACAGUACGUGAAAUUGUCAAAAGGGAAGCGUUUGACACCAGUGUUGUUUUUCUGAAAAUCAAUUAAAGAACUGUUUAUGCUAAGCUGUUUAGACUUUAUCAGCUAUCUGUUUAGUUUUGAGCUUUUCUUUAAUGCACUUUUCAGUUAACAAGUCAACAUCAAUUUCUUUUGCUGUAAAAAAGCUUGAGGAAGGUGGCUUGAGAUUCGUCUUAAGUGCUUAUAGCCUCUUGCCUAUGCAGUCGGAGAGAUUGAGGUCUGCAGCGUAGAUCCUUCGGGGCUAAAUGCAUUUGUGCUAAGUUAUAGCAUUUUAUAGACAACUUGUUGACUAUGAUUUGUCUUGUAGCUUACUCGCUUAUGUUAUUUUACCUACGCUUAGGAUGUUGACGCGCGUGUGUGCGUG
This 774-nucleotide ribosomal RNA is filed under the name uncultured Neocallimastigales. RNAcentral describes it as "partial large subunit ribosomal RNA". It matches the Rfam family "Eukaryotic large subunit ribosomal RNA", at positions 22 to 639 of the family's 3401-position model. Lineage: Eukaryota; Fungi; Neocallimastigomycota; Neocallimastigomycetes; Neocallimastigales. The record is from RNAcentral.